Photinus pyralis (common eastern firefly) is the source of this 3399-nucleotide RNA transcript. RefSeq lists it as uncharacterized. Lineage: Eukaryota; Metazoa; Arthropoda; Insecta; Coleoptera; Lampyridae. The record is from RefSeq and is a predicted model, not a curated record. The transcript has 7 exons.
ACAAAUUUCAGUUACGAAAUAUUCUUGACUUUAUUUUAGUUCCUUAACGGGCAAAGUUUUUCAAGACUAUAUAAUUAUUGACUUUUUUCAAUGUUGAGAUAGGAAUACUUCAAGGAUUUGUCUUAGAGCAUACGAACUAUAUGUCAAUUGACCUGAUUUCAAUAUAUUGAAAUAGGAAAAUUUCAAUAAAUUGAGUACAGUGCUAUUCUGCAUACCAAUCCGCCAUAUUUAUUGAAAUGUCUUUCAUAUGUCAAUCUUAUGACGUCAUUUCAAGCUUGACUUAAUGUCAAUGUACUUACUGCAUAGGGCUGAAUAUGUUUUAGUUAUGUUAUCACAACAUUUUUCCUAAUAAGUUCAUUAUAUUGCACGCUUUAACUUAAUAACAACGUUAAUAACAGACUGAUAUUAAUAAACGUACAUGUUCGUAAAAAGGUGAUCACGACCGAGGGGACCUACCGAGUUGUUCGUCCAAGCGUUUGUAAAUAAUUACAGUUUAACAAGACCCUUUUAUUAACAUUUAAUGUUGUACAUUCAACCUGCACACAUAAGCUGCUUUCCUUUCAUGCAGAUGAAGCCACAGGGCUUCAAAAUUUUAGGCGCCCCAGGUCUGCUGCGAAUGGAACAAGAAUUUUCGAUACAAAGAAACUCACUGUGUCAGCUGUUCUCUCUUUGUUGAUUUUCUAAAAGUAGCAUAACCUCAAUGUUAAUAAAAAGUGGAAAUGGAACCCUUUUGUGAAAAGGAAUUGAUUAUAAACGUAUGAAUUAAUAUUGUAGGUACCAUAAUGCCUGUUAACAAACUACUUUGUAGGCAUUAUUAUCCAAGUCAUGGUGUUCUGAUUCCUCAGAAAGUUCUUUUACUUUAUCAUCAGAUGAGGAGCAGUCGGAAAGAAGAAAGUUAAUCAGAAUUGAAGAAUAUGUUGAACGUGUAGUGCAUAAUUACAGCAAUGAUGAAUUUAAGAUUCAUUUUAGGAUGAAGCGAUCAACUGCCUACAAGGCCAUAGGUGAGAGAGCAUAGAAACGUGUGUAAUUUUAUUUGUUGAUUGAAUUCUUUAAGAUCUUCUUAAAUGUUCAAAAUAUAUACCAUCCCAUAGUUCAAAAUAUAUACCAUCCCAUAAAGAUGGACGUGAUAAAAUAUCAUGCGAAAAAGCUUUUCUCCUGACCUUAUGGUAUCUAAGCAACCAAGAAACUUUUCGACAAGUUUCAGAUAGGUUUAACGUAACCCUAAGUUCCGCUCAUAGAUGCACGAAGCGGGUGCUGGAAUUUCUACUUUCAAUGAAAUCGGACGUUAUUACAUGGCCAUCAGAUGUCGAAGCUGAAGUUAUUGUAGAAGGUUUUCGUAAGAAAAAGGGGAUUGAGGGUGUUAUAGGUGCCAUAGACGGUAGUCACAUCGAAAUAAAUAAGCCCGGUGAAGAACAACUUGCUUAUAUUAAUAGAAAAGGAUACCAUAGCCUACUUGUACAAGUAAUUGUAGAUCACAAUAAACAAUUUUUAGAUGUUUAUUGUGGGGAACCUGGUUCCAUGCAUGAUGCCAGACUGUUAAGAAAAUCAGGCAUUUAUAAAAAAAUACACAAUAACCCAGAUUUCCUUAGAGACAAAUUUAUAAUUGGUGACACAGCUUAUCCAAAUUUCCAUUGGCUAGUCACCCCUUUUAAAGAUAAUGGGCAUCUAACACAGGAUCAUAAUGAAUUUAAUUAUAAACUCUCUGCCACCAGAGUGGUAGUAGAGAAUGCGCUAGGAUUACUAAAAGGCAGGUUUAGGCGGUUAAGAAAACUGGAUAAUUUAAAUAUGAACUUGUGCAGUAAAAUAAUUAUGGGGGCUUGUAUACUUCACAAUAUUUGUCUUGCUGAGGAUGAUUUUAUAGAAACGGAUACAACAGAUUUUAACCAACCACCAGAAACACAGUAUCGUAUCACGAGCAUUAACAUAGAUGGGCACGUAAAUAAACGACAACAAUUGUUUGAGUCGAUGUAUAAUAAGUCUCUGUAACUUUACAAUCACUCCUAUGCAGUAAAAUCAUUGAUUUGAUGUCAACAUUGAAACCAUUUCAAGAAUAUUAUUUUGGAUAUUUCAAUGUUGAAAAAAUUUCGUAUUCUGUAUGGGCACUUGAUUUGAAAAUAUUGAAAUCAUAGAUUGAUUGAAAUAAAAGUCAAUGUGUCAUUUGGCAACAUGGCAUUGUAUUAAAUUUACCAACUUCAUAUUUGUUAGAAUAGAAUCUCUGGUCUUUAAAUAUUAAACAUAACCUUUUAAUCUUUCUUGAAUGUUGUGUGUGCACAGUGCAAAUAUAUUUAUUUUCUUUGUGAUUUUUAUUAAAUAAAGAAGAUGCCGCCAAAAAAGGCAACGCCUGAGCAGUAUAAACUGCUUGUGGACAUGUUUGCUGAAAGUAAAUGCUUGAGGUGGGGAAAAGGAACUCCAGGUGAAAAAAAGGAAGCAUGGGAAGCCAUCAGUGCUGCAGUUAAUACUUUAGGAGUUGAGAAAUCGUCAGAUGGAUGGAAAAAGGCCUUUAUUGAGAUGAAAUAUCACAUCAAAUCAAAAAUCCGAGCUUCAAAGCAGCUCAACCCAACUGAAAAUAGAUGUGCAGAAGUCACCGGAUUGUUUAUAUCCUGCUCUGGAAUUUCUGGGGUUCAGGAAAUGGGAAUGCCACCUGUUGUUGAUGCGAUAGAUACACAGGAACCCGAAGAGGGCCCUCAAGAUGAGUCGGUCGAAAUAAAUCCACCUGACGGUAAUGAGUUGCUGAUGAAUCCGAAUGCAUGUGAGGUUGUUGAGGAAGAAUUCGAGGAGGUAGAAACAGCCUCAAAAAAAAAACGUAAAACAACUCAAGCAAUAAAAAAAACAAAAACUACACCACAACAGUACGAAAUGUAUAUAAAUUUUAAGAAAUAUAAAUACGACAAUGAAGAAAAUGCUUUUAAAGCAUUAUGUGAAGAACUGAAUGGGGAAAAAAAAUUGCAACGCUCUGUUGAAAAUUGGAAAAGGGUAUAUACCUGAGGUGUGUGCUUAAAAUCACUUAUAUGAUGUAAAAUAGGUUUUUACUGUUUGGGAAUCAAAAGUGAAAGCAAAAGCUAGGAGAAACUAUUUGGAACAAGAGCGCACAGGAGGUGGAGUUCCUAUCUUAGAAAUUCUGGAUGAACUUGAACUACAAUUGUUAUCUGUUUUAACAAAAAUUUUAAUAUAUGGGCAUCCAAAGGUUGUAGAAUUGGGAUUUACAAAACCAAAGAAGACAAAGACGUGUCCCAUUAAACUUUCUGUAGGAAAGAGAUACAGACAUUUGAGAAAAUCCACUGAUUUAUACACCACAUUGAAAAGCGGCUCAACAAAACUAAAAAAUAGUUUACUCGCUAUUCAAAAAAGUUUGCAUGCUCUGCAUGAUGCGAUUUUAAACCUAUUUACUCUAGUUUUAAG